GGUCGGUUAGUGUAGUUGGUUAUCACAUCGGAUUCUGAUUCCGGUAACCGGGGUUCGAAUCCCCGACUGACCU
This 73-nucleotide transfer RNA is filed under the name Pestalotiopsis fici W106-1. Its description in RNAcentral is "tRNA-Gln (CTG) (tRNA-Gln-CTG-1 1 to 5)". It matches the Rfam family "tRNA". From Rfam's summary of the family: Transfer RNA (tRNA) molecules are approximately 80 nucleotides in length. Lineage: Eukaryota; Fungi; Ascomycota; Sordariomycetes; Amphisphaeriales; Sporocadaceae. The record is from RNAcentral.